GUGCAAUCCAUAUGAUAGUGCAUCUAGUUUCUUCAAAGAAACCAAUGUCUUUACUGCGGAACCAAUGCCGUCUUUGUCUACAGCUGCUUUCUUGUGCCCCCCAACACAGGAGAUUAUAUUAAUAGCUGAUGAACAGCAAGCUGACAGUGUGGCAGUAGAAAAUUCUACACCCAAAACAGCAGCUACUCCGAAGAGUGUCAAUUUUUCGACUAAGAAAAAAGGUAAAUUAAA
This is a non-coding RNA of Spodoptera litura, 231 nucleotides long. The record is from RefSeq and is a predicted model, not a curated record. Lineage: Eukaryota; Metazoa; Arthropoda; Insecta; Lepidoptera; Noctuidae.